Molecule: ribosomal RNA, 253 nt
Filed under: uncultured bacterium
Lineage: Bacteria
Description: partial 16S ribosomal RNA
Rfam family: Bacterial small subunit ribosomal RNA
Source: RNAcentral
GACAGAGGGUGCAAACGUUGUUCGGAAUUACUGGGCGUAAAGCGCACGUAGGCGGCUUUGUAAGUUAGAGGUGAAAGCCCGGGGCUCAACCCCGGAAUUGCCUUUAAGACUGCAUCGCUAGAAUUGUGGAGAGGUGAGUGGAAUUCCGAGUGUAGAGGUGAAAUUCGUAGAUAUUCGGAAGAACACCAGUGGCGAAGGCGACUCACUGGACACAUAUUGACGCUGAGGUGCGAAAGCGUGGGGAGCAAACAGG